Molecule: ribosomal RNA, 499 nt
Filed under: uncultured bacterium
Lineage: Bacteria
Description: bacterial SSU rRNA
Rfam family: Bacterial small subunit ribosomal RNA
Source: RNAcentral
GAUGAACGCUAGCGGCAGGCUUAAUACAUGCAAGUUGAGGGGCAGCAUGAUAUACGCGAGUAUAUUGAUGGCGACCGGCGGACGGGUGAGUAAUAGGUAGGAGACCUACCUCAUACAGGGGGAUAGCAUAGAGAAAUCUGUGGUAAUACCCCAUGAGGUUAUAUGAAUAGAGGCAUAUAAUCAAAGCAUAAGCGAUUAUGCGGUAUGAGAGGGGCCUACUGACCAUUAGCUAGUUGGUGAGGUAAGGGCUCACCAAGGCGAAGAUGGUUAGGGGUUUUGAGAGAGAGACCCCCCACAUUGGAACUGAGAGACGGUCCAGACUCCUACGGGAGGCAGCAGUAGGGAAUAUUGGGCAAUGGGCGAAAGCCUGACCCAGCCAUGCCGCGUGAAGGAAGACGGCCUUAUGGGUUGUAAACUUCUUUACUACGCGAAUAGAGGUUAGUACGAGAUACUAAUAGGAAGGUAGUGUAAGUAAAAAGCACCGGCUAACUCCGUGCCC